This 279-nucleotide ribosomal RNA is filed under the name uncultured bacterium. RNAcentral describes it as "partial 16S ribosomal RNA". It matches the Rfam family "Bacterial small subunit ribosomal RNA", at positions 506 to 784 of the family's 1533-position model. The record is from RNAcentral.
UGCCAGCCGCCGCGGUAACACGGGGGGCGCAAGCGUUAUUCGGAAUUAUUGGGCGUAAAGCGUACGUAGGUGGCAAGGUCAGUCAGGCGUGAAAGCCCUCGGCUCAACCGAGGAAUUGCGUUUGAUACUGCUUUGCUAGAGUCUCGGAGAGGUUGGCGGAAUUCCAGGUGUAGGAGUGAAAUCCGUAGAUAUCUGGAGGAACACCAGUGGCGAAGGCGGCCAACUGGACGAGUACUGACACUGAGGUACGAAAGCGUGGGUAGCGAACAGGAUUAGAUA